This 89-nucleotide non-coding RNA is filed under the name Rubrivivax sp. A210. Its description in RNAcentral is "c-di-GMP-I riboswitch aptamer". It matches the Rfam family "c-di-GMP-I riboswitch aptamer". From Rfam's summary of the family: GEMM was predicted in a large-scale screen for bacterial structured RNA regulatory elements. Genes associated with GEMM are involved in a diverse array of functions, including chemotaxis regulation, signal transduction, secretion and chitin. The record is from Rfam by way of RNAcentral. Lineage: Bacteria; Pseudomonadati; Pseudomonadota; Betaproteobacteria; Burkholderiales; Sphaerotilaceae.
CGGUGAGAAGGGCAAACCCAUCGAAAGGUGGGGACGCAAAGCCACCGGGCUAAAGCGCCGAAAAGCGCCACGCCAGCGGGGUUGCCGGC